Molecule: long non-coding RNA, 401 nt
Filed under: Medicago truncatula (barrel medic)
Lineage: Eukaryota; Viridiplantae; Streptophyta; Magnoliopsida; Fabales; Fabaceae
Description: long non-coding RNA (MTRU_LNC002766)
Source: RNAcentral
CAAAGUUGAAGAAAGAUUUUUUGCUCUUGCCUGUCAUAAAAAGGAGCCCUAAAUAUUUGUCUAUACCUAGAGCAGCCUGCAUUUAUAGUUAAAACAUUUCUACUACCAAAAAUCUUUGAUAUUUGGAGGUUUACUGUCUGACUAAAAGCAGCACUCUCGUAGAUAAAAUGGUUUUUGAUGUUGAUUACACACAUUCAUAAUGUCAUAGAAUCUCUUGAAUUGAUUUUUUUUUACACUUCAUUGAUUAGAGAUGAAAAGAAAAUCACCACACAAAUAAAGAUAGAUGAGAAGAAGAAGGACUAUCAAAAUACAAAAUUCUUUCAAUAAAUAAAAAAAUUACAAAGUUCUUGAAACAUGAUUCUCGUGUCAUAAUUCCAAAUGUUCUUCAUCAUUGAUUGGAC